This 2061-nucleotide ribosomal RNA is filed under the name Chromobacterium sphagni. RNAcentral's name for it is "bacterial LSU rRNA". It matches the Rfam family "Bacterial large subunit ribosomal RNA", at positions 882 to 2925 of the family's 2925-position model. Lineage: Bacteria; Pseudomonadati; Pseudomonadota; Betaproteobacteria; Neisseriales; Chromobacteriaceae. The record is from RNAcentral.
UCAUGUAUCACUUCCGGGGGUAAAGCACUGUUAUGGCUAGGGGGUCAUUGCGAUUUACCAAACCAUGGCAAACUCUGAAUACCGGAAAGUGCCAGCAUGGGAGACAGACAGUGGGUGCUAACGUCCAUUGUCAAGAGGGAAACAACCCAGACCGCCAGCUAAGGUCCCAAAUGAUCAGUUAAGUGGUAAACGAAGUGGGAAGGCAUAGACAGCCAGGAUGUUGGCUUAGAAGCAGCCAUCAUUUAAAGAAAGCGUAAUAGCUCACUGGUCGAGUCGUCCUGCGCGGAAGAUGUAACGGGGCUCAAACUGAUAACCGAAGCUGCGGAUGGGCACAGUCAAAUGUGUCCGUGGUAGGGGAGCGUUCUGUAGGUCUGUGAAGGUGUGUCGAGAGGCAUGCUGGAGAUAUCAGAAGUGCGAAUGCUGACAUGAGUAGCGAUAAAGCGGGUGAAAAGCCCGCUCGCCGAAAAGCCCAAGGUUUCCUACGCAACGUUCAUCGGCGUAGGGUGAGUCGGCCCCUAAGGCGAGGCUGAAAAGCGUAGUCGAUGGGAAACGGGUUAAAAUUCCCGUACUUUUGUGUAGUGCGAUGUGGGACGGAGAAGGUUAGGUCAGCAGACUGUUGGAAUAGUCUGUUCAAGCCGGUAGGUGUGAAGAGUAGGCAAUCCGCUCUUCUUUAAACACCGAGACGUGAUAACGAGGGUCUACGGACCUGAAGUGACUGAUACCACGCUUCCAGGAAAAGCCACUAAGCUUCAGCUACACAAGAACCGUACCGCAAACCGACACAGGUGGGCAGGAUGAGAAUUCUAAGGCGCUUGAGAGAACUCAGGAGAAGGAACUCGGCAAAUUGAUACCGUAACUUCGGGAGAAGGUAUGCCUGUUGUGGUGUAAGACUUCGCGUCUGAAGCUAUGACAGGUCGCAGAGAAUCGGUGGCUGCGACUGUUUAACAAAAACACAGCACUGUGCCAACACGAAAGUGGACGUAUACGGUGUGACGCCUGCCCGGUGCCGGAAGGUUAAGUGAUGGGGUGCAAGCUCUUGAUCGAAGCCCCGGUAAACGGCGGCCGUAACUAUAACGGUCCUAAGGUAGCGAAAUUCCUUGUCGGGUAAGUUCCGACCCGCACGAAUGGCGUAACGAUGGCCACACUGUCUCCUCCUGAGACUCAGCGAAGUUGAAGUGUUUGUGAAGAUGCAAUCUACCCGCUGCUAGACGGAAAGACCCCGUGAACCUUUACUGUAGCUUUGCAUUGGACUUUGAAGUGGUUUGUGUAGGAUAGGUGGGAGGCUAUGAAGCCUGGACGCUAGUUCAGGUGGAGCCAACCUUGAAAUACCACCCUGACCCCUUUGAGGUUCUAACCUUGGUCCGUGAUCCGGAUUGGGGACAGUGCAUGGUAGGCAGUUUGACUGGGGCGGUCUCCUCCCAAAGUGUAACGGAGGAGUUCGAAGGUUACCUAGGUACGGUCGGAAAUCGUGCUGAUAGUGCAAUGGCAAAAGGUAGCUUAACUGCGAGACCGACAAGUCGAGCAGGUGCGAAAGCAGGACAUAGUGAUCCGGUGGUUCUGUAUGGAAGGGCCAUCGCUCAACGGAUAAAAGGUACUCCGGGGAUAACAGGCUGAUACCGCCCAAGAGUUCACAUCGACGGCGGUGUUUGGCACCUCGAUGUCGGCUCAUCACAUCCUGGGGCUGUAGCCGGUCCCAAGGGUAUGGCUGUUCGCCAUUUAAAGUGGUACGUGAGCUGGGUUCAAAACGUCGUGAGACAGUUUGGUCCCUAUCUGCAGUGGGCGUUGGAAGUUUGACGGGGGCUGCUCCUAGUACGAGAGGACCGGAGUGGACGAACCUCUGGUGUACCGGUUGUCACGCCAGUGGCAUCGCCGGGUAGCUAAGUUCGGAAGAGAUAACCGCUGAAAGCAUCUAAGCGGGAAACUCGCCUGAAGAUGAGACUUCCCUGGAGGCUAGACCUCCCUGAAGAGUCGUUCGAGACCAGGACGUUGAUAGGUCGGGUGUGGAAGCGCUGUGAGGCGUGAAGCUAACCGAUACUAAUUGCUCGUGAGGCUUGAUCCUAU